AUGAUGACCUACAAAAGCCACAGAUCCAUUUCAGAUCUUCCUUUCUCUGUCUUUUGUCUUUCAGGGUGUGUUCAGUCUCUCCUCCCUCCCACUUCAGUCUGUUUAACCCCCUGUGCUAUGGAAAGCUCUUCUCCCCUGACAACACCAGGAGGUUUUGACUCAAAUCAUCCAACCUGUGGGGAGACCCACUGCAGCGGCCAUGGCUCCUGUGUGGCUCCUCUGGGUGGCGGUUUCAGUCUGGUCUGUGACUGCCAUCUGGGCUACCAGGGCAAGUCCUGCGAGGGCACGGUCAACGGAGCGAUGAGUUUACCGCUGACCAUAAGUGUGUUAGCCGUCAUCAUCGGGCUGCUGAUCUUCGCUUUUGUCUUUGCCAAGUUUAGACAGAAGCAUAAGAAGAAAAAGAGACAACGUCUGGCAGAAAAUCACAGCUAUAACAUCAGCAUAUAAGGUGCACAAGUCUCAGGAGAUCUGAGAUUUUUAAUGUGUUGUCAAGCAAGGGGACUCAAGAAUGUGUUCUUGUUUAAACCGCGGCUGCUCAGAUGCUAAAACUUUACUGACAAACUGAAGCACUUUGGCCGACUUCAUCCAUCCAACAGCAAGCAUCACUCUGAUGGGACCUCCAGUUCA
RNAcentral lists this long non-coding RNA (627 nucleotides) under Nothobranchius furzeri (turquoise killifish). RNAcentral describes it as "lncRNA (ENSNFUG00015008991.1)". Lineage: Eukaryota; Metazoa; Chordata; Actinopteri; Cyprinodontiformes; Nothobranchiidae. The record is from RNAcentral.